RNAcentral lists this long non-coding RNA (278 nucleotides) under Rattus norvegicus (Norway rat). RNAcentral describes it as "long non-coding RNA NONRATT030674". Lineage: Eukaryota; Metazoa; Chordata; Mammalia; Rodentia; Muridae. The record is from RNAcentral.
GCUUCAUCACCCAUUUGUCCACGAUAUAAAAAAUGAACGACGUGUUGUGGAGUCAUUGACCAAGCACCUUACUGGGAUCAUCCAAAAGAGAGAGAGAAAAGGAAUACCUCUGGCCUUCGAAGGAGAAGAAGCUGUUAACGAACAAUACAUCACAAGGAGAUUCAGAGGACCUUCUUGCACUCCUGAACUUCUGAGAGUGCCAACCAGCAGCCGAUGCAGACCACUCAGAGUCCUGCAUGGAGAGCCUCCUCAGCCAAGGUGGUUACCUGAUGAAGAAC